This 67-nucleotide transfer RNA is filed under the name Pectobacterium carotovorum subsp. carotovorum. RNAcentral's name for it is "tRNA-Asn". It matches the Rfam family "tRNA", at positions 10 to 71 of the family's 71-position model. From Rfam's summary of the family: Transfer RNA (tRNA) molecules are approximately 80 nucleotides in length. Their secondary structure includes four short double-helical elements and three loops (D, anti-codon, and T loops). Lineage: Bacteria; Pseudomonadati; Pseudomonadota; Gammaproteobacteria; Enterobacterales; Pectobacteriaceae. The record is from RNAcentral. RNAcentral also lists the same sequence under 18 other names.
GUUCAGUCGGUAGAACGGCGGACUGUUAAUCCGUAUGUCACUGGUUCGAGUCCAGUCAGAGGAGCCA